UACGUAGGGGGCAAGCGUUGUCCGGAUUUAUUGGGCGUAAAGAGCGUGUAGGCGGCCGUACAGGUCAGCUGUGAAAACUCGAGGCUCAACCUCGAGAUGUCGGCGGAAACCGUCUGGCUAGAGUCCGGAAGAGGAGAGUGGAAUUACUGGUGUAGCAGUGAAAUGCGUAGAGAUCAGUAGGAACACCAAUGGCGAAGGCAGCUUGCUGGGCCACACCUGACGCUGAGGUACGAAAGCGUGGGGAGCGAACAGG
Molecule: ribosomal RNA, 253 nt
Filed under: uncultured bacterium
Lineage: Bacteria
Description: partial 16S ribosomal RNA
Rfam family: Bacterial small subunit ribosomal RNA
Source: RNAcentral